This is a long non-coding RNA of Juglans regia (Persian walnut), 552 nucleotides long. RefSeq lists it as uncharacterized. The transcript has 2 exons. The record is from RefSeq and is a predicted model, not a curated record. Lineage: Eukaryota; Viridiplantae; Streptophyta; Magnoliopsida; Fagales; Juglandaceae.
GUUGCGUUUCACAUUUUCACUGAAAUUGUUCUCUCCCCCUGCUCUCUCUCUCCCCUACCCUCCUCUGUGCGACUCCUGUUCGGUUGUUCCCAACCCUAACCCUAACGCAACAGACCUGCUACGUUAUACUGGAGGAUUUUGCUCAAAGUUCGACGCUGUCCUAGUUGCAGAUAAAGAGAGUACUUGUAAAGAGAAGCUGAAUUGUUAAGGAAUGAGGAAGAGUUUCAAAAGAGAGAAAGAUUUGGAAGAGAGAGUUGGGACUCUAUAACAAUCAAGUGGAGCUUCAAAGGAAGAAGCAGACAUGCGGCAUUUCGUGUGUAUUGAUAUCAAAGUGAAGCCCCAACUGAAUCAACUGAUUGGGAUACAUCGACCAACAAGUUGAUGACUUUGUUAUUAGGGACUUAGUGUUUGUAACAGAGACAAAUUAUUGGGAAAUAUGUUGCUAGUGACUUUAUAUUGUUGUUGGAAGGAAUCUUCGAAUACAGUACUUUAGUGACUUUAUUUUUUUUUAAAACUUUCAUGUUAAUUAAAUUGGAUUCAUUUCCACCAAAA